UGAUGAUGAUGAUGAUGAUUCUGCGCCGGGGUUUCCAGUAAGGAGUGCUCUGUAUACAGCGUGGCAGUAAUGCCGGAAGGGUUCUCGGUUCGUGGAGCACCGUGGGCGAGCAGCACGCGUGAUGGGUGGAUGGAUGUUUGCGGGAGUCUACUGCUCCUUUCUUCCCCACCCGAAACAGACUAUUAUUCCCACAGACACGGACCAAUACACACUCGUUUGUCGGGCGUCCUGCACACACACACACACACACACACACGCGCGCACACACACACGAACGGAACACAGUUUUGAUUUUUUUUUUUUUUUUAAAUAAAUUGUUGAAAUUAAAGAAGUUGAAAUGUUUCAUUUCUGCAACAUUUUAUGUAACCUGAGUGGUUAUAGACUUGGAGGAAACAACGUGCUGCCCGCUGUGAUGACCAGGAACAUGUGGCAGUAAAAACACAGUGGGGAGAGAUGGGAUGAUUUGCUUGACUCCCUGAAUCACAGUAUGUGGUACGCCUUCUACCAGGUGAGGCACUUGAGAUGAUUGUCCUUUCAAUUAAGGCAAUAUAUUUCUUACUGUCUUUGUUGCAGUCAUCUGCCAGCAGUUAUUCUUGAAAUGGACCUCAUCAAUCUCUUUCCUGUUAUUCAAAUCAUCCCUUCUGAUCAGACACUGGUCUUGUCCAGGAUAAAUAUUGAGAGGACCAUAUCAGCCCACAGUGGACAACAUGCAAGUCCUCAAGCUGAACUAGUGACAGUACAUGCUGUAGCUUCCAGUUUCUCGAACAUCAUGUCUAAUUCUAUCCCAUGUCUUCACACAAGUCUGGACUUAUUCCUUUUGUUCAACCAGGGCAAGUAAGCCCUGAUACAUAAUGUUUGUUUAUUUCACCAUGGAUUAUCCAAUCAUAUGGACAUGUGCUGUUUUUUUUUUUCAAGAUUUCAUUACUAAUUUGUGAGUAUUGGACAAGGUAUUUGAUCAAUUCAAACAGUUUUUAACACUGAAUAUGUACGUUUUCUUGCUGUAGUCUGACUGAUAUUUUGUGCCUUGGUUUACAAUGGACCUUAUUCACUUAGUAAUUAAUCAUAAAAAGUUGUUGACAGUAAAAUCUAGGCAAACCAACUGUAAUGCAUUGUGUUGUACUGUAUUUUUUAAUGAUAAAAUUCUGGCUAAAUUUGAACUUUACAAUAAAAUACCAUGAUAUACGGUUGUGUUGUGGUUUUCAUCUGAGAAAGACUAAUUAGGUUUACAGUAAAUUUAUUUUACAGUAGUUUACAUUGUUGUAAAUAAAGCAGUUCUCAACUGUGAAA
Molecule: long non-coding RNA, 1287 nt
Organism: Hemibagrus wyckioides
Lineage: Eukaryota; Metazoa; Chordata; Actinopteri; Siluriformes; Bagridae
Exons: 3
Source: RefSeq, a predicted model, not a curated record